This 200-nucleotide unclassified non-coding RNA is filed under the name Hevea brasiliensis (rubber tree). Lineage: Eukaryota; Viridiplantae; Streptophyta; Magnoliopsida; Malpighiales; Euphorbiaceae. The record is from RNAcentral.
GUGCGCCAGAAUAUUUGAAUGUCUCUUCUCAUAUCAAAUUGGCUGAUUAAGGAGUUUGAAAUCAAAUUGAGAAACGGAGAGAUUGAAGAUUUCAGAGACAGCAGGGAGACAUUCAAAUGCUAAAGAGAAAGAAAAGUUGAAUUUAUGUGUUCAAAUGGUAAAACACGAACAAAGAGACGAAGAAGAAGAAGAUGGAAACG